AUUGAACGCUGGCGGCACGCCUAACACAUGCAAGUCGAGCGGUAGCAGGACCUGUAGCAAUACAGGUUGCUGACGAGCGGCGGACGGGUGAGUAAUACGUAGGAACUUGCCUUUUAGUGGGGGAUAACUAAGGGAAACUUUAGCUAAUACCGCAUAUUCUUGAGAGAGGAAAGCUGCCGUAAGGUGGCGCUAGAAGAGAGGCCUGCGUCCGAUUAGCUAGUUGGUGAGGUAAGAGCUCACCAAGGCGAUGAUCGGUAACUGGUCUGAGAGGACGACCAGUCACACUGGGACUGAGACACGGCCCAGACUCCUACGGGAGGCAGCAGUGGGGAAUCUUGCGCAAUGGGCGAAAGCCUGACGCAGCAACGCCGCGUGGGGGAUGACGGCCUUCGGGUUGUAAACCUCUUUCGACAUCGACGAAGGGGCCCUGUUGUGGGGUUUUGACGGUAGGUGUAGAAGAAGCACCGGCUAACUACGUGCCAGCCGCCGCGGUAA
Molecule: ribosomal RNA, 495 nt
Filed under: uncultured bacterium
Lineage: Bacteria
Description: partial 16S ribosomal RNA
Rfam family: Bacterial small subunit ribosomal RNA
Source: RNAcentral